CAUCAGCCGCGGGAAUACGGAGGGUGCAAGCGUUAUCCGGAUUUAUUGGGUUUAAAGGGUCCGUAGGCGGACUUAUAAGUCAGUGGUGAAAGCCUGUCGCUUAACGAUAGAACUGCCAUUGAUACUGUAAGUCUUGAGUAUAUUUGAGGUAGCUGGAAUAAGUAGUGUAGCGGUGAAAUGCAUAGAUAUUACUUAGAACACCAAUUGCGAAGGCAGGUUACCAAGAUAUAACUGACGCUGAGGGACGAAAGCGUGGGUAGCGAACAGGAUUAGAUACCCCUGUAGUCCCUGUCUCUUAUAC
Molecule: ribosomal RNA, 301 nt
Filed under: uncultured bacterium
Lineage: Bacteria
Description: partial 16S ribosomal RNA
Rfam family: Bacterial small subunit ribosomal RNA
Source: RNAcentral